UACAGAGGUCUCAAGCGUUGUUCGGAUUCAUUGGGCGUAAAGGGUGUGUAGGUGGCGCCGUAAGUCGGGUGUGAAAUUUCGGAGCUUUAACUCCGAAACUGCAUUCGAUACUGCGGUGCUUGAGGACUGGAGAGGAGACUGGAAUUCAUGGUGUAGCAGUGAAAUGCGUAGAGAUCAUGAGGAAGACCAGUGGCGAAGGCGGGUCUCUGGACAGUUCCUGACACUGAGACACGAAGGCCAGGGGAGCAAACGGG
RNAcentral lists this ribosomal RNA (254 nucleotides) under uncultured bacterium. RNAcentral's name for it is "partial 16S ribosomal RNA". It matches the Rfam family "Bacterial small subunit ribosomal RNA", at positions 524 to 776 of the family's 1533-position model. The record is from RNAcentral.